RNAcentral lists this non-coding RNA (24 nucleotides) under Cricetulus griseus (Chinese hamster). The record is from RNAcentral. Lineage: Eukaryota; Metazoa; Chordata; Mammalia; Rodentia; Cricetidae.
AGAGGAACAAUUCUGAGUCUUAGA